UCCCUAAAAACAUUCAGUCUGCAAUAGAAGCCCCUAAAUUGUAAAAUCCCUAAAAGCCAAAAUCCUUUCGUCUAUUUCCUUGUGCUGCCAACUACCAAUGUGCCUCGCCUCCCUUCUCUCCUCUCUUCUCUCUUUUUAUUCCUCUCUAAUCUCUACCUUGUGUUGCUGUCCUUGUUAGUUGUCAUUGUCAUUGGCCUACAGUUGUCCCUUGGAAGUCCAUUUGAAGCCAGCACAGCCCAGUUUCAAAUGGGCAUGGAAUUGUUGGACUGCUAGUUUGUGCUUUUUAAAAUUUUUUCUUGGAUGAUGACUUGGUCAUUUUUAUCUACUUUGUGCAAGUUUCAAAUGGUUCGAUUUCAAAUCAAACCAACCAAAUGCUCCCCUAGCAAGAUCUUCCAUGCUGUACGCUCAAAACACAUUGCAUGAUCUCUAGUGGAAGCCCAAGACUUCACAUGUUGCAAAGAGAAGCCCACUGUGAGACAGCAGAGAGCUUGGGGCAAGAAGGUGAUUUCAUAAUUUUGACCAUGAUGUUAGUGGUAAGGGAAUGAAAGGAGGAAACAUAUUGGAAGUGGAUAAUCUGCUGAAGUAUAAGGAGCUAUGACGACUUUAACGCUUCAAAUUUUAUUAUU
This is a long non-coding RNA of Hevea brasiliensis (rubber tree), 626 nucleotides long. RefSeq lists it as uncharacterized. The transcript has 3 exons. Lineage: Eukaryota; Viridiplantae; Streptophyta; Magnoliopsida; Malpighiales; Euphorbiaceae. The record is from RefSeq and is a predicted model, not a curated record.